GACGAACGCUGGCGGCGUGCUUAACACAUGCAAGUCGAACGGAAAGGCCCUGCUUUUGUGGGGUGCUCGAGUGGCGAACGGGUGAGUAACACGUGAGUAACCUGCCCUUGACUUUGUGAUAACUUCAGGAAACUGGGGCUAAUACCGGAUAGGAGCUCCUGCUGCAUGGUGGGGGUUGGAAAGUUUCGGCGGUUGGGGAUGGACUCGCGGCUUAUCAGCUUGUUGGUGGGGUAGUGGCUUACCAAGGCUUUGACGGGUAGCCGGCCUGAGAGGGUGACCGGCCACAUUGGGACUGAGAUACGGCACAGACUCCUACGGGAGGCAGCAGUGGGGAAUAUUGCAAAAUGGGCUGAAGCCUGAUGCAGUAACGCCGCGUGCUGGAUGACGGCCUUCGGGUUGUAAACCGAUUUUGCCUGUGAUGAAGCGUGAGUGACGGUAAUGGGUAAAGAAGCCCCGGCUAACUACGUG
Molecule: ribosomal RNA, 468 nt
Filed under: uncultured bacterium
Lineage: Bacteria
Description: partial 16S ribosomal RNA
Rfam family: Bacterial small subunit ribosomal RNA
Source: RNAcentral